UUGGAGGAUGUAUAGCGGUAGCUGGUUGUAUUUACUUAUAGUUAGUGCAGCAUCGACUAUGUCGAAUAAAGUUCUAGAUAGAGUUAUGAUAAUGACAUUUUCUAUCUAUGUGUCUCGACCAAAUCACGUGCCACCAGUCUCGGUAAUACGUGGGAGACUAGUGUUAUUCAUCUUUAAUUGGUUUAAAGGGUACCUAGACUGUUCAUCAAGCCCCUAAAGGGUACUAAUGGACUAGAGUUUUAUGAGAGGGGGGGUGUACAUGAGAGUGGAGAGAUGAAAUACUGUCAUACCUUAUUUGAUACAGGCAACAGCGAAAGCAACCUUUUAUGUAAAAACUGACGUUGAAGGACGAAGGCUUAGUAUAACCAACAGGAUUAGAUACCCCAGCAGUCUUUGCAGACAAUGAUGAAUGUCAUAGAUUGGAAUUAAGUAUUU
This 435-nucleotide ribosomal RNA is filed under the name Lambiella arenosa. Its description in RNAcentral is "SSU rRNA". It matches the Rfam family "Bacterial small subunit ribosomal RNA", at positions 354 to 839 of the family's 1533-position model. Lineage: Eukaryota; Fungi; Ascomycota; Lecanoromycetes; Baeomycetales; Xylographaceae. The record is from RNAcentral.